RNAcentral lists this ribosomal RNA (499 nucleotides) under uncultured bacterium. RNAcentral describes it as "partial 16S ribosomal RNA". It matches the Rfam family "Bacterial small subunit ribosomal RNA", at positions 28 to 507 of the family's 1533-position model. The record is from RNAcentral.
GAUGAACGCUGGCGGCGUGCCUAAUACAUGCAAGUCGAGCGAACAGACGAGAGUGCUUGCACUCUCUGACGUUAGCGGCGGACGGGUGAGUAACACGUGGGUAACCUACCUAUAAGACUGGGAUAACUUCGGGGAACCGGAGCUAAUACCGGAUAAUAUUUAGCUUCGCAUGAAGCAAUAGUGAAAGACGGUUCUGCUGUCACUUAUAGAUGGACCCGCGGUGUAUUAGCUAGUUGGUGAGGUAACGGCUCACCAAGGCAACGAUACAUAGCCGACCUGAGAGGGUGAUCGGCCACACUGGGACUGAGACACGGCCCAGACUCCUACGGGAGGCAGCAGUAGGGAAUCUUCCGCAAUGGACGAAAGUCUGACGGAGCAAUGCCGCGUGAGUGAAGAAGGUUUUCGGAUCGUAAAACUCUGUUGUAAGGGAAGAACAAGUACGUUAGUAACUGAACGUACCUUGACGGUACCUUACCAGAAAGCCACGGCUAACUACGUG